RNAcentral lists this ribosomal RNA (388 nucleotides) under uncultured organism. RNAcentral describes it as "bacterial SSU rRNA". It matches the Rfam family "Bacterial small subunit ribosomal RNA", at positions 45 to 433 of the family's 1533-position model. The record is from RNAcentral.
UGCCUUACACAUGCAAGUCGAACGGCAGCACGGGUGCUUGCACCUGGUGGCGAGUGGCGAACGGGUGAGUAAUAUAUCGGAACAUAUCCGGAAGUGGGGGAUAACGUAGCGAAAGUUACGCUAAUACCGCAUACGAUCUAAGGAUGAAAGCGGGGGAUCGCAAGACCUCGCGCGAUUGGAGCGGCCGAUAUCAGAUUAGGUAGUUGGUGAGGUAAAGGCUCACCAAGCCAACGAUCUGUAGCUGGUCUGAGAGGACGACCAGCCACACUGGAACUGAGACACGGUCCAGACUCCUACGGGAGGCAGCAGUGGGGAAUUUUGGACAAUGGACGCAAGUCUGAUCCAGCCAUUCCGCGUGCAGGACGAAGGCCUUCGGGUUGUAAACUGC